GGGUAUGGAAGGGAGUUCGCCAGAUGCUGCAGAGAAGUGCGACCGGCAUGAAGAGGUUGGCUGACCGAAAGCGACGUCCAUCUCCUAGAUACAAGAUCCCUCAAGGUCCACCCCACGUUCCAUGUCAGCAAGCUGAAACCAGUUUUAGAGAACAGACUGGUUCCCCCCUCCACACCACCUCCACCUCCCCGGGUCAUCGACGGAGGUGUCGGCACUUGCUCUCCGUGUGGCACCUGCUAGGCUGAUGGUUGUUCCCGCCCCUAAUUGUGUCCACCUGUUGUCCCAUUACCUAAAGUGUAUAUUUGGUCCGCCUCUCCCUUUGUCUGGUGUUGGUUCGUCUUGUCUUUUCGUCAUGUCCAUGCUGUAGUCCAUAGACCUGUUCUUGCAC
This is a long non-coding RNA of Gymnodraco acuticeps, 388 nucleotides long. RefSeq lists it as uncharacterized. NCBI's taxonomy places the organism in Eukaryota, Metazoa, Chordata, Actinopteri, Perciformes, Bathydraconidae. The record is from RefSeq and is a predicted model, not a curated record. The transcript has 3 exons.